Vicugna pacos (alpaca) is the source of this 107-nucleotide small nuclear RNA. NCBI's taxonomy places the organism in Eukaryota, Metazoa, Chordata, Mammalia, Artiodactyla, Camelidae. The record is from Ensembl.
AUGCUUGCUUCAGCAGCACAUAUACUAAAAUUGUAAUGACACAGAGAAGAUUAGCAUAACUCUUAUGCAAGGAUGACAUCCAAAUUCUUGAAGCAUUCUAUAUAAAA